Molecule: long non-coding RNA, 1155 nt
Organism: Juglans microcarpa x Juglans regia
Lineage: Eukaryota; Viridiplantae; Streptophyta; Magnoliopsida; Fagales; Juglandaceae
Exons: 2
Source: RefSeq, a predicted model, not a curated record
GUCCAGACCCGUUCUAUUUGGACAACUACUAGGAACGCUUCCGUUAAUUACAGUGGUCGAUACCCAUCAAUCAUCAUGUAAACCAUCCUAAAAGCCUUCAAUACUUUAGCAGCGAUAAUCGAUUAUUGGGUUUGCUAAAUUAUUGAUGGGAAUCGGUCUUCUUGAUUUGUGUUGGUUUUUGUUGUGAUUGAAAGCUUGAACAAUCCAACGUUUACAGAAAUUGAUUCCUAAAAUCUUAAAAGAGACAAGGUAAGGGUCUUCAGGUUCUUCUCCUUUAUCUGAGACUCCCUGUUUGAGUGGUGAUGGCGGUGGAGGAGGAGGAACUGCUGCUUUAUCAUCUUCGAUAUUGGCCACCAAAACUCCCAGCACGCUACUCAGUGGUGACUCCAAUUACAUACCUUGUGGAAAUUGAUGUUGUCGUCAAAGGGGACAAAGGACCUGGCUCUUGUGGACCGAAGCCAUGUCAGGGUAUUUCGACAAACAGGUAAGAGGAUGAGAGCCAUGUUGAGUUUCAGAGUCUCUGCAGCUCCUUUGGCUGUCGCCAAGCAAUAUCCCAUGGCCUGAAAUGCAGCCCUACUCCUGUAUUGGUUGAAUUUCCAGGCAAAGAGACCUGCCAUGGUUAGCAACCACAGCAACAAAAUCCAACCCCUCUGCCAAUUCUCUAUUAUGAGACAUCGGAGUGUCUCAGUUGCUCUUCGCAUCGCAUUCUUUGGCCUCAAGGAACCGAUGUUCUGACUCCAGCCUACACUUGCUGUGCUGAGUGGUCUGCUGUAAUUCAUGUAAGUGUCUCUUUGAAGAAGCAGUGUUUCCAACUGCCAUAACUGAGAAAAAAGAUCAAACAGCAAAAAGAGUCAAACAAGCAUGUUUUAAUGCUUUAGGAGAAGGAGCUGGCCUCUUUUGUUAGAACAAGCAUGCUUUAAUUUACCUCAAUGUAUCCGAGGUUUUCUGGAUCAAGCUCUUCCAUAAUCAAUGAAGCGUAUUCUUCUGCCUGCUCUUUCAACUUGGAUAGUUUGUUUGCAGAAGCACUUAGCAUUAUAAGCUGUAAUUACAUGACAGAAACACAUUAAUUGAAGCUUAGUAAGUACUAUACAUCAUGCUACGACACUGUCGAUUAUAAAUUUUAAUUGCAAAUUAUGCAUUAUCUAUGGUUUUUAU